This 72-nucleotide transfer RNA is filed under the name Pyrinomonadaceae bacterium. RNAcentral describes it as "tRNA-Asn". It matches the Rfam family "tRNA". From Rfam's summary of the family: Transfer RNA (tRNA) molecules are approximately 80 nucleotides in length. Lineage: Bacteria; Pseudomonadati; Acidobacteriota; Blastocatellia; Blastocatellales; Pyrinomonadaceae. The record is from RNAcentral.
GCACCAGUAGCUUAAAGAAAGCGGCUACGAUUGUUCGUCGGGCUGAUGAAGGUUCAAGACCUUCCUGGUGCA